CCCUGUUUAACGGCCGCGGUAUUUUGACCGUGCAAAGGUAGCGCAAUCACUUGUCUUUUAAAUGAAGACCCGUAUGAAUGGCAUGACGAGGGCUAAUCUGUCUCCUCUCCUCAGUCAAUGAAAUUGAUCUUCCCGUGCAGAAGCGGGGCUAGCGGCAUUAGACGAGAAGACCCUAUGGAGCUUCAGGUAGUAACGAGCCUAAACUGUCUUACCAUCUAGGAAAGAACGUGCUCACCCCUCUUUACUUGCCUUUGG
This 255-nucleotide ribosomal RNA is filed under the name Vinciguerria nimbaria (oceanic lightfish). Its description in RNAcentral is "partial 16S ribosomal RNA". It matches the Rfam family "Bacterial large subunit ribosomal RNA", at positions 1918 to 2273 of the family's 2925-position model. Lineage: Eukaryota; Metazoa; Chordata; Actinopteri; Stomiiformes; Phosichthyidae. The record is from RNAcentral.